Molecule: long non-coding RNA, 321 nt
Filed under: Capsella grandiflora
Lineage: Eukaryota; Viridiplantae; Streptophyta; Magnoliopsida; Brassicales; Brassicaceae
Description: long non-coding RNA (CGRA_LNC000031)
Source: RNAcentral
UCAACCAAAAUCCUUCCCAAUAUAUAUAAAUUAGUAAACACUAAACUAUAGCUAGAGACAAUGAAUAGAGAAUCUAUUCAACAUAAGAGAAAAGUCUGCGUGAUCGAAACCCCAAUGAAAAUGACAUUGUUACAUUAAUUUCAAAGCUCGUAUGAGAAAUGGAUAUUACAAGUAGUAGUAACCCAAAAAAAAAUUAAAAAAUUAAACUCUCCCAUCAAAACUAAGUGUUGAAUAACUUUAAAAAAAUUAUUUAGAAAAUGACUCUAGAAAAAGUUUACAUAAUCACACAACCAGGUUCGUCUACAACAACUCUAGAAGUCU